Molecule: ribosomal RNA, 506 nt
Filed under: uncultured bacterium
Lineage: Bacteria
Description: bacterial SSU rRNA
Rfam family: Bacterial small subunit ribosomal RNA
Source: RNAcentral
UAGUCCACGCCGUAAACGAUGUUCACUCGCUGUUGGCGAUAUACUGUCAGCGGCCAAGCGAAAGCAUUAAGUGAACCACCUGGGGAGUACGAUCGCAAGGUUGAAACUCAAAGGAAUUGACGGGGGCCCGCACAAGCGGUGGAGCAUGUGGAUUAAUUCGAUGAUACGCGAGGAACCUUACCAGGGCUUAAAUGGUUAUUGACCGUCGCCGAAAGGUGUCUUUCUUUUAGACAAUUACCAAGGUGCUGCAUGGCUGUCGUCAGCUCGUGCCGUGAGGUGUUGGGUUAAGUCCCGCAACGAGCGCAACCCUUGUCUCCAGUUGCCAGCACGUAAUGGUGGGGACUCUGGAGAGACUGCCGGCGCAAGCCGUGAGGAAGGUGGGGAUGACGUCAAAUCAUCAUGGCCUUUAUGCCUGGGGCUACACACGUGCUACAAUGGUAGGUACAGAGGGCAGCCAAACCGCGAGGUUGAGCAAAUCCCUUAAAGCCUAUCCCAGUUCGGAUUGG